GGGAAGCGGCGCUAAUGCCGAGAACCGACGGUUUCAGCUCGACAAGCUGGGGGUCACUGGUUCGAGCCCAGUACCGCCCA
This 80-nucleotide transfer RNA is filed under the name Chloroflexota bacterium. RNAcentral describes it as "tRNA-Ser". Lineage: Bacteria; Bacillati; Chloroflexota. The record is from RNAcentral.